AUACGGAGGGUGCGAGCGUUGUUCGGAAUUACUGGGCGUAAAGCGCGCGCAGGCGGACGUGCAAGUCGGGGGUGAAAUCCCAGGGCUCAACCCUGGGACUGCUUUCGAUACUGCAUGUCUAGGGACCGGUAGAGGCUGGUGGAAUUCCCGGUGUAGCGGUGGAAUGCGUAGAUAUCGGGAAGAACACCUGUGGCGAAGGCGGCCAGCUGGGCCGGAUCCGACGCUGAGGCGCGAAAGCGUGGGGAGCAAACAGGAUUAGAUACCCUGGUAGUCCACGCCGUAAACGAUGGGUGCUAGAUGCCGGGGGGAGCGACCCCUUCGGUGUCACAGCUAACGCGUUAAGCACCCCGCCUGGGGAGUACGGCCGCAAGGCUGAA
This 377-nucleotide ribosomal RNA is filed under the name uncultured bacterium. RNAcentral describes it as "bacterial SSU rRNA". It matches the Rfam family "Bacterial small subunit ribosomal RNA", at positions 523 to 898 of the family's 1533-position model. The record is from RNAcentral.